RNAcentral lists this long non-coding RNA (4069 nucleotides) under Marmota monax (woodchuck). The record is from RNAcentral. Lineage: Eukaryota; Metazoa; Chordata; Mammalia; Rodentia; Sciuridae.
UGGCGAUCCCGAUUCUCCCUCUUUCAGCUCUCACUCCUCCAGUGCCGACGGUAGAGAAAGACUUUACUCCAGGUCUUCCUCCUCACUGGGGAAUUGCCGGAAAGAGCAAACAAAAAAGGCGCUGGUGUAGGCUCCAAAAUAAACACAUCUGAAUUCAUGAUGGCAUCGACAGAGGCUCUUAUUGGAUUAAAAGUUUCAAAACAAACAAUAACGCUUUGGAAAAAGGUCAGAUUGGCUAAAGUUGGUUCUUGAAAGCAGUGUGUACACUUCCCUGUUUACUGUUAAAUGUGUUGUCAAUGCGGGGCAAUGCUGUGAGCUUCUUAGGAUAAGUUCCUGCAGUUUCAAGGCAUAUGCAACUAUGAAUAUAAAACUUUAGAUAAGUGGAGGUGCACUGGACUUAAAGCAUUGUCUUCCUUAUGGGAUUUCUGCAAACUGUACUCUAUAAACUAUUAAAAACAAUUGGAUGCAGUCGCAUUCUUUCAAUGUAUUUGUAAAUGUUCUAUUGUUACCAGCUCUAGGGAAGUAAAUUUCAGGAUCAAAGUAUCAUCACCACUCUGAAAUUCCCAACCUCGAAUUCGAAUAGUGGCAGAUUUCAUGACCUUUCCUAACUUUGAGAACUGAAUUUUGAAGUUCUCUGUGUUUUGAUCUGAUUCCUGGCACAGCUGCAGAAUUUUUCUUAAUGUAGGGUUUGCCUCAGAGUGCCAUAUCCAAAGGCUUACUGUGGGAGCUCUGACUUCUAAACUUAAAAAUUGGCCUGCAUUCAUAUGGGAUAUUAGUCACUUUACAAAGUAAUAAGCAUAACUCAAGCAGCAUGUUUUAAAACUUUAAGAGGUAUAUCCAGUCAAUCUAUCUGUGUGUAGAUACAUUUAUUCAAAAAGCUUUCCUCCUUCAAAGUUGUAAUGUUGUCAUAGGAUUUUAUAUUCAGUCUGCAAAUACAUUGCCAUUAACGUCCCUCCUCCCUUUUGUCAAACUUCUGUUUUGCUGUUGUAUAAAGAAAGCAUGAUCAUAGUUUGAAUUUUUAGGAGUCUAAAGAUUGCUUUUUUGAUGUUAACUAUCUUGCUGUGAAACAGACUAAAAAACCUGUAGGUAAUAUGAUUUCCAUAUCUCAACAUCAGGUAUCUCUUUGUACUUGGAGAUUUUACCAAAUGAUAUUUUUAAGUAUGUUUGAACUAAAAAGCAUCAGGGUAAUAAAAUUAUGAUUAAUGAGAACAUGGUUUCUUUCAGCAGGGUUGAAUGCCUGCCUGCACCUUCAGGCACGACCAUGGAGAAAGGUGGGAACAUACAAUUGGAGAUCCCUGACUUCAGCAACUCAGUCCUCAGCCAUCUAAAUCAACUGCGCAUGCAGGGCCGUCUCUGUGAUAUUGUGGUCAAUGUGCAAGGACAAGCUUUUCGGGCUCAUAAAGUGGUACUGGCGGCCAGCUCCCCCUAUUUCCGGGAUCAUAUGUCCUUGAAUGAAAUGAGUACUGUCUCCAUUUCAGUCAUCAAGAACCCUACUGUUUUUGAACAGCUUCUUUCUUUCUGUUACACGGGGCGGAUAUGCCUGCAGCUGGCAGAUAUCAUCAGCUACCUAACAGCUGCCAGUUUUCUGCAAAUGCAGCAUAUUAUAGACAAAUGUACACAGAUCCUAGAGGGUAUUCAUUUCAAAAUUAAUGUGGCUGAGGUUGAAGCAGAAUUAAGUCAAACAAGGACAAAGCAUCAAGAUAGGCCUCCUGAGUCUCACAGGGUUACACCAAAUCUAAACCGCUCCCUUAGCCCACGACAUAAUACCCCAAAGGGAAACCGGCGAGGGCAGGUCAGUGCUGUGCUAGAUAUCAGAGAGCUAAGUCCCCCUGAGGAGUCCACCAGCCCUCAGAUAAUUGAACAGAGUUCUGAUGUAGAAAGCCGGGAGCCCAUUCUUCGAAUCAACCGAGCAGGACAGUGGUAUGUGGAGACAGGAGUAGCAGACCGGGGUGGCCGGAGUGAUGAUGAAGUUAGGGUUCUUGGAGCAGUGCACAUCAAAACUGAAAAUCUCGAGGAGUGGCUUGGGCCUGAGAAUCAGCCUUCUGGAGAAGAUGGGAGUAGUGCAGAGGAAGUCACAGCCAUGGUAAUUGACACCACAGGCCAUGGUUCUGUAGGACAGGAGAGUUACACCUUAGGGUCUUCAGGAGCCAAGGUGGCUCGGCCAACAAGCAGUGAAGUUGACAGGUAAGUUCUGAGUUUUUUUCCCUUCUAAUGGCUCUUGUAGACAUCACUAAGAGGGUCCUCUGUGUGGUACAGACAUGUUUACCACAUGUACUUAGCCAGAAUAAGUUGAUGUUGGGGAUUUGAGGUGUCCAAAAGACCUGUAUCCUUAUUUUUUUAAAAGCAGGAAGCUCCUAGUCAUGAUGUAUUCACAAUGCUGUGAGAACUAGGGUAAAGUUAGACACCUACAUGAAUCAACAUCCGCAGCCACACUAGGAUCAGUCAUUGCCAGGGCUUUCUCAGGAUUCCCGGCAAGGAACUGAUCAUCAGUUGGGAACCUGGCAGCAUUGCCCUUCCUUGGUUAUCACACAGGUAUGUGCCUUGGGGAGUUAAACUUUCCUUUGUGGCACUAUAUGCUUUUCUUUGCGCCCACCUAACAAACUAGAAGAAGUGUGGUAUCAUCAGUGAUUGUUUGUUUCACAUUAGUGUCAACAUAGUACACUGAAUCCAAAGAAAAGCUUUUUGGUUAUUCUUCAUUCUUAUUUUCAUUUGUCAUUUGGUGGUCUCUUAUCUGUUCUCUGUCAAAGAUGAAUGCUGCUACUGCAGACCUGAGACUGUCCUUUUUCACCAGUGGUACUGUGCCCUGUGCCUCACUUCUGUCUUCCUAAUACAUCAAAUUUUUUAGAACAUUUAUCUUUGAUGGAAAUAGCACUAAUUUUAAUCUAAGCCAAUUGAAACAAAGAAAUAAUUUAUAUUGUAAUAUUUGUUCUUUCUCCUCUUAAAAGUAAAUAAAAAUUAGCCAGGCAUGGUGGUGCACAUCUGUAACCCCAACAACUAAGAAGGCUGUGGGGCAGGAGGAUUACAAGUUCAAAGCCAGCCUCAGCAACUUAGCAAGACCCUGUCUCAAAUUGAAAAAAAAAAAAAAAGAUGGGCUGGGGAUGUGGCUCGGUGGGUAAAUGCCACUGGGUUCAAUCCCUGGUGCCAAAAAUUUAAUUAAUUAAUUAAUUAAUUAAAAUUGAGCGAUGAAAACUAAGGAUACCAUUUCUUUGGCAUAUAGCUGAUCUUUAGAGACACUACUGUUUCACACAUUCAGAUACUACACUGUAUCUACUUAAGGUGGUUUUGAUUUAAGUACUUAACUAUUAAGUGUGCCUUUAAUAGUUAAAAUAUUCUCGAGGGCUGGGGUAGUAACUCAGUGGUAGAAUGCUUGCCUAGCACAUGUGAGGCCCUGGUAUUAUGUCCAUCUAUAACUAAAAAAUAGAUAUUAAAAAUAUAUAUGUAUAUAUAUUUUUGAACAUUCAACUUAUUGGUCCCAAUGUUAGCACUGUAUUUUCCUAUGUUAGAACUUCAACAAAAAUAUCAAUUUAAAUGCAAGGAUUGUAUUUUCUAUGAUGUAUGUCAACAGUCUGAAAUACUUAACAGGUUAUAAUGGGGUCUAGGGGAAAAAACAACCAAAAACCCAAUGUUACAGAACCAUUUUUUAUUUAUUCUUUUACCCCUUUUCCAGUACUUAUGCAGGGGUAGAAAGCUUAUAUUUAGCUAUAGUUUCACCAGCUCAUAGGAUUUACUAUGCAUUUUGUACUUUUUUAAAUUUACUAGGACAGACCUUUUUACCUUAUUUCAAACCAGGUUAUAUAUUGACUGUGAAAGUAUUUUUCAGUCAUCAGUUGCUUGGUUGUCCCUUCCUCAGCCACUACUUUUCUAUAGUACCUUUAUGCUCCUCUCCAACAGAUUCAGCCCCUCCGGCAGUGUUGUCCCCUUGGCUGAGAGACACAGAGCCCGAAGUGAGUCUCCUGGGAGAGUGGAUGAGCCCAAGCAGCCAAGCUCCCAGGUAUGUUGUUGUGGGCUUACAGCUGCUGUAUAACUGGAGGAAUUACCAACUGACUGAACAGAAUUUAAUGAAUGAAAG